AGCGGCGAACGGGUGAGUAACACGUAGGUGAUCUGCCCAUCAGACGGGGACAACGAUUGGAAACGAUCGCUAAUACCGGAUAGGACGAAAGUUUAAAGGUGCUUCUGGCACCGCUGAUGGAUGAGCCUGCGGCGCAUUAGCUAGUUGGUAGGGUAAAGGCCUACCAAGGCGACGAUGCGUAGCCGACCUGAGAGGGUGAACGGCCACACUGGGACUGAGGCACGGCCCAGACUCCUACGGGAGGCAGCAGUAGGGAAUCUUCGGCAAUGGGCGAAAGCCUGACCGAGCAACGCCGCGUGAAUGAUGAAGGCCUUCGGGUUGUAAAAUUCUGUUAUAAGGGAAGAACGACUUUAGUAGGAAAUGGCUAGAGUGUGACGGUACCUUAUGAGAAAGCCACGGCUAACUACGUGCCAGCAGCCGCGGUAAUACGUAGGUGGCGAGCGUUAUCCGGGAUUAUUGGGCGUAAAGAGCGCGCAGGUGGUUGAUUAAGUCUGAUGUGAAAGCCCACGGCUUAACCGUGGAGGGUCAUUGGAAACUGGUCGACUUGAGUGCAGAAGAGGGAAGUGGAAUUCCAUGUGUAGCGGUGAAAUGCGUAGAGAUAUGGAGGAACACCAGUGGCGAAGGCGGCUUCCUGGUCUGUAACUGACACUGAGGCGCGAAAGCGUGGGGAGCAAACAGGAUUAGAUACCCUGGUAGUCCACGCCGUAAACGAUGAGUGCUAAGUGU
RNAcentral lists this ribosomal RNA (726 nucleotides) under uncultured bacterium. RNAcentral's name for it is "bacterial SSU rRNA". It matches the Rfam family "Bacterial small subunit ribosomal RNA", at positions 94 to 823 of the family's 1533-position model. The record is from RNAcentral.